ACGAGUUAGUAUAUUUAAUACCCUUAAUUUAGGCUUAAAAAAAAGACACCCUCUACUCGUC
This 61-nucleotide transfer RNA is filed under the name Nodularia douglasiae. RNAcentral's name for it is "tRNA-Leu". The record is from RNAcentral. Lineage: Eukaryota; Metazoa; Mollusca; Bivalvia; Unionida; Unionidae.